CCUGGCAGCGCCCAGGCCCCUGAAGCGGCUUCCCCGCGGGCUGUUGGGGGUCGCCCGGGCGGUCGGGAGCGGGGGGACCCGGGGGCUACCGUUGAGGACCUGUUGGGGUCGUGCCCGUUGGGGUCAUGUUUUGGGGUCUGCGGGAGCCAGAAAAUGCGUGCAGACACCCACCUGGCUUUUUGGGGGAGAGAGGGAGGAGCCAAAGUGUCUGUGGGAUAUUUAAAGUCUUCAGUAAAGAUCUUCAGUGAGUUACCUACUAUGGGAGUCAGGAUAUCAGCAGCCUCCAAAGUCUGUAAAGGCUGGCAUGGGACAGAGCACCGUCGAGGAAGCCGUGUCAGGAACACUCACCUCUUGACACCACUGCUAAUAGGUGGUUAUUACAGCCCAUUGUGCUGAGAGCGGAGGUCUGGCUCUGACAGCUGCUCCAGUGACAAAGUGGUUUUACCUCACCUAAAAAUCGGUUCAGGAGCACAUCUGUUGUGACAUUUGUCCCUAUGCAGAGAGUCAGUGAAGACAACUGAAGCCCUUACAUCACAUUUUUGUGGUCUAUAAGGCUCAUUAAAUAUUAAGCCGUUUGUAUGGAUUUCAAUUUGAACCAGACUCCAAGAGUAGUGAAUGAAAAUAUAAAUCUUUAUCCACUCUUUUUUUUUCUCUUUUUUUCCCCCCAUAAUCAAUUCAAGAGUAGGAAAGCUCUGUUGCUUAUUAUGUUCUCUCCUCAGCAACAGUGGAUUCCCUUUUUUCUCCAUUGCUUUUUAUUGGUUAAUGUAAAUUCUGAAAAAAAAUCUUCAUUCUUCACCUUCAGUUUACUUGUAGAAAGAAAUAAGCUUAAUGUUACUGUGGCAAAUUUCCUCUUUCAGUAAUGUAAAUGUUUCAAUGAUACAAAAUUCCAUCUUACUGUGAUAGAUUUCAUAAGCUUUUUAUUUCUAAUCAAAAUCAUGAGCUAUGAGGGUGCUCAUACCUGGAUAGUAGCAUUGUAUUCAAAUACAAGAAAUACAAUUCUGAAUUUUCUUAAUGCAGAAAGAAAUAAAGUAACUGUUGUUGUGUCAGCAGGCUGGAGGUGGAAUCACGUCCUUACUGUUGGAAGGAAGAAUCUUGGAAAUCGUUCUUAGGGAGGUGGUCAUCCUGCCUGCAGGUAUUCCCAUUCCAUGUGUUCAGGCAAGACAGCACUAAUUUGCAAGUCUGGCUUAUUGUGACUUGUCUUAGACUUGGUGAGAAGGAUUUUAUAGCUGCCCUUAAGAAGAACAGUUAAUAAAAAUAUGAACAUUUGUGCAGUCUUAGUAAUACAUUCUUGAAGAAUAUAGAUCUAUCUUAAAGGAUAUAGAUAUAUCUCAAAGAAUAUAGAUACAUCUUAAAGAAUACAGCUGUUGUGCAAUGUUUUGUAAUCUAGAAUUCUUUGGCUUGUUUUACAACUUGCUCACUGAGAUGCUCUCACAUUUUUAGAAAAAUGGUGCAAGCAUUACAUUCCUGAGAUAAUACCUUGUUGAUAGAAUCACUGUCAUCAAUACCCAGCCAUUGUAUUAAAGAAUACUUUUGUUUCAAAUCUAGACAACCAAAGAGUUUUUAUUUUUUAAGAAGCAUUGCCUAAUAGUUUCCAUGCAGGAAAGUCUCAGCCCAUCAUCAUCUCUUUUUUUUCCCCUAUUUUUUUUUUUAUUCAUCAGUACUUGAAUAAUCUGGUAUUCUUAAACCCCUAAGGCAAACUCUUUGACUUCCUCUGUCUGGCAGAUGGGUUUUAGCCAUGGAUUGUUUCUUAAAAUGUUUAUGCUGUCACACAUCUCAUAUUUGUCUCAGCUGGAAAAACAUUUUUACAGAAAAUCCUGUUUGCUGGUUGUCUCAAGGGUUUCAAAAGUGCUUGUGCCUUUCAUUUGGUCCAAAAAAAAUUUACAUGCAGGUAUUUUAUAUGGCUUUGGGGAACAUCAAAGCUGAAGCUUAGCAAGUCAAGCCUCUUUUAUGAAUGGUGCUUUCUUGUAUGGAUAGGAAGCUUGUUCCAUUAGAAUAGUCCAGAACCCUAAACAUAAAGACACCUCACUUCCAAGAAUUUUGCAUGGGUUUCUCUCCUGAUGAACUUUUUAAUCAUAUUCUGAAUUUUAUUUGCAGCUUAUCCUAAAUUCCUGUUCUUGACACAUUUGAGGGUUUGUGAGUUUUUGGUAUUUUUUUUAAGAUUUCUAAAUGAGCUUUAUCUACUCCCAGCAUCGAAUAUUACUGGGUUUGGGAGUCAGUGUUUGUUUCUAUUGUGUAACACUGAUAGGGCCACUAGUGAGUCAUUGAGGAAAAACCACCAAACAUCCCAGUGAGGAAAAUGUAUUAAAAAUUGUGAAGGUCCAUCAACUCUAUAAUGCUUAUGAUCUGAAAUGUACUUUGCAUUAGAACUUGUUCUGCCUGUAUUAAUUAUGCACAGUACUAGACACAAACAGGAUGCUUUCUAGCAUGAAAGCUGGGCCUAAAAUAACAGAAAAAGAGGACUAGGAUUCAAGGGGCGUGGGCUGAAACAGAUCAUGAGUGGAAGUUUUGCAUGAAGCUUGAGAGCAUUUUUCUAUCUCAGGAAAAUGAAAGAACUUGAUGUAAAGCAACUCUCAAAGGAGAGUUUGCUGAUUAAGGCCAGACUGUUCCCACCCUGAGAAGUAGCCACAGUCUGAAUUUCCCUCUGCUGGCUCACUCCAUCUUGGACUCUCUAGUCUCACCAAGGCCUGGGAAUUUGAAAUUCCUAACUCAUCUUACAGUGGGAGCUGCAGCUGGGCUGCAAACUAUACAGGAGCUGCAUGCACGUGGCAGCAGUUGAUGUAUGGGGGGGCCCCACAGUCCCUUCCUCCUCCCUGCCCGAAGAAGCCCUAAAUAACUCCCAGUGUUGCAGGGCUGGCACCCCCUGGCACACAGGGCCAGCCAAGUGACAACUGUACUCCUCACAACAUGCAGUGUUGGAAGGGUUACACCAGGUGCUCCCGUGGAGUCACCAGUGAGCGUCUGCAAUGCAAUUGCAUAUCUCCACAUGAGCUGGCUCAGAUCUUCCUGCUGGCUAGUCAGCAGAGCACAAAGCUGGGCUUAAUAAAUAUGGAUCCAUCAAUUUAGGCAGGAGCAGGAACUGGCAACUAAUGAUUUGGACUUUCAGUGGCCUGUGAGCUGUUUGUGCAGCUGUUUGUGAAGCCACGUUGUAAAUCAGAUUACUCAAUCCAGAUUUUUAAAGUUCUGUCUAAUCUAAUAAUUUUUAACCAGAAUUACUCCACUGAUUGAAUUCACACUCUGGUCCCACAAACAGUUGCAUUGGCACAAUUGCAGCACUGGUAGACUGUGACACACAGAUGGUAUGGAAAGAAGGAAGGGAGGCUGCUGGAUGGUUAUUUUGUCCAUGGGGACAAUAUUCCUGCAUAAUUCUGAUGCUGUUCUGAACCACAGACUCUGCAUCAAUUUCCCUUUCUGAUCCCUUCUCCAACUGUCCCUAUAGUCAGACUGAAAUGCCUGUUAAUGUCUCAUCUGUGCAAUACCAGAUCAUCUA
This is a long non-coding RNA of Lepidothrix coronata (blue-crowned manakin), 3487 nucleotides long. RefSeq lists it as uncharacterized. The record is from RefSeq and is a predicted model, not a curated record. Lineage: Eukaryota; Metazoa; Chordata; Aves; Passeriformes; Pipridae. The transcript has 4 exons.